This 3547-nucleotide long non-coding RNA is filed under the name Homo sapiens (human). Its description in RNAcentral is "HSALNT0319444". Lineage: Eukaryota; Metazoa; Chordata; Mammalia; Primates; Hominidae. The record is from RNAcentral.
AGAUAAAGGCGCAGGAAGGAACCGCGGCGUGGCUGGCGGGCGCUGCGCAUGCGCACCGCCUUUAGGACGCCUGAGGCUGUUUUGGCUAUCCUGGAUACCUUGCAUUUCCAUGUGAAUUUUAGGAUCAGCUUGACCAUUUCUGGAAAAAAAAAGGCCAUUGAAAUUUUAUAGUAAUUAUGCUGAAUAUAUCGAUCAAUUGAGAGGUGCUGUCCUGAUAAAAAUAUAUUGCAAAUGCCUAAGGUACAAGGCGAGAUAUUAAGGCUUCAGUUAAGACAACGACUUUUGAGAAGAGUGGAGAAUGAAAAUGGAAAUAGAGGAGACACUACUGAGGUUACGAGAGAGAGAGAGAGGAAAGUGAAAGCGGGAAAAGUUGCUAAUAAUACUGAUAUGCUCACCGUUGUUAAGCUUUAUUUCAAUUUUUUUCUUUAGAAAUAUGUAAAGAGAAAACAUAUUCUUGGUUCCUGAUAACGAUUGCCAAAUUACUUCUCAAAGAGCUUCUCAAUGACAUUGCUAUCAACAUGAAAUGAGAAUAAUGGAUUCCUGAAAAUAUUAGCAGCUUCUGUGUGUUACACAGCAUUUUCAUGAAUCUAAUAGAAUCAGUAAUGGUGUUACAGUAGGUAGUUGGUCACACAUGAUCAGGGCAAGAGAGGGCUCCUUGCAUCCCACCAGAAAUGUCAGCUGAACAUCAGAUGACGGUCAGGCAGUUGUUAGCGGUCUCUCUAAAAUAAUAGUUGGGCACAUCCAGCGCCAGGGAAAGGUAGUCUCCCAAUAGAUAGAAAAACCUGAAACUGGUGAUCAGCUUCCUGAUAAGGUCUCAGGAGUUGGGUGACUGGGCUCGAGCAUGAACACUAAGAGGAAAAAUGGCAAAGUUUAACUGGUGUAUGAAUUCCCCUAGGAACACUCAACUGGUAUGAGAAAAAUGCUUGAAGUGAGCACAUGCACAAUUCCAGUAAACACACUGAGCAUGCAGCCACUCCCAAGAGCUGGCAGGCCACUGCACAUACAAAUAGGCCACCCCAAGGGAAGAAUUGGGAGAAGGGAUGAAAGACCUCAGAAGUAUGCCAACAUGUAAAACUCCAAGUCAAAGAUCAAACAGGGCACUUGAUCUCUCAAGUUGCCUGCUUGGCCCUCUUCCAGAUGAGUAAUUCCAUCUCCAUACCAGAGGAUUUGCCCCUUGGAUUAUUCCCAAAAACUGGAAAAAGUUUGAUUCUCCUAAACCUUAAAAAAAAGCCAAAAACUAGUUUUACUUUGUAAUACUGUUUGACCUAAAAAUGAACUGGGUGAAAAUACAAACAUCAGCCUGAGACCCCAGUAACCUUAUGCAGGAAAUCCUCAAAUUAGCCUCUUCAGUCUUUUACAACUGAGAGCAGAAUAAAGAGGACAGAGGGAAAAAGAAGAACAAACACAAAGAUAAGAGGCAGGCUCAACUAUUGGCUGCUUUAUAAGCUCUCCAGUCCCCUCCAGGUCAUCCUAAGGACACUCCUCCAGGACUCUCAUGGCAACACAUAGUACAAACCAUGACUUCCUAACAGAAAGGGAAAUGACUUCUGUCUAAUUCAAAGAAUAUUAAGGUUUCUGAUUUGCAGAUUGUGACAUGAGAAUAGAGGAAAAACUUUCAGGACACUUAAGGAGAGCUGAAAUGCUCACGAAUAUUAAGCAGAGCAUAAGUCAACUGUAUGGACUGACCUAAUAGAAGACUGAAAUAAUUCUUCUAUUUACACCUUUUAACAAUUGAGUAAAGUAUACUGCUGUAAACAAAAUUUGGAGCAUAUUUGUUUCUCUCUACCUGAUUUCUCUAGAAUUAGGAAACUAUGAAUAUUCUUAACAUGUGAAUAUAGUUAUUUGCAUAAGUGCAGUAAGAAUCUGUUUUCUUUUGCAACAGGACACAAUUGGAAACUGGUUGUUUUACCAAGACUUUGUAAAGCCUUGCUAACUGGAAUUUGUGCUUUCCUUUAAGGAAUCAUAUUUGACUUAUAGAUCCAAUAAAAGCCCUUUGGGAAAACUGGCCUCAUACCUACUCUACACAGUUCCUGUACAGGAUUCCUGACCUGUGGCCAUCAAGCACCAGAUAAUCCUCAGUGAGUGAUACAUCCCCUUAAUAUUCAAGAGCCACCCUUCUGUAGGGGGCCGAUAGAAUGCCCCAUCAGUGGGACAAGACAGAGGUGAAAUCCUGCCCCUCUCUCCCUUGGACCUGGCUAGAUACUGCUUUUACCAUCCCAUGGAGUCACACUGCCCUGACAGGUAACAAGAGCCUAAGGCCCACAGAACAACCACCACGGUCCCUCUGUCAGCAGGGGGCAGUUACAGAAGACUGACCUUCAUCCAUUUUCCCCAAAGAAUUGGGGUCUUGGACUCCUGACGUGUGAAAUGUUAUAGUAGGCAGCUAGUCAGACAUGAGCAGGGAAGGAGAGGGCCCCUCUCCCCAACCAGGAAUGUCCGAUGACCAUCAGGUGAUGGUCAAGUGGUUGUUAACUGUUUCUCUAAAAUAAAAGUAAUGGCAAAACAGCAAUUACUUAUGCACAAACCUAAUAAUUAGUUGCAUCAAGUGCCAGGGAAAGACAGUCUCCCAAUAGACAGAAAAACCUGAAACUGGUGAUCAGCUCUCUGAUAAGAUUUUAGGAGUCAGGUGAGUUGUUUCAAGCAUGUGCACUAAGAGGCAAAAUGGCAGAGUUUAACUGGUAUACAAUCUUCCUCUACGAACAUGCAGCUGGUAAGGGAAAAAUGCCUCAAGUGACCAUGUGCACAACUUCGUAAACACACUGCAAAUGUGGCCCCUCUCAAGUGCUGGCAGGCCACUGUGCAUGCGGACAGCAACCCUAAGAAAACAAUGAGGGCAGAAGGGAUGCAAGACUCUGGAAAUAUGCCGGUGUAUAAAACCACGAGUCAAAGGUCAGGUCAAACAGGGCACUUGAUCUGUCAAGUCGCCCACUUGUCCCUCUUUCUUUCAUUCCUGCUCUAAACUUUUACUCAACUUUUACUCCUGCCUCAGUCUCUCACUCUGCCUUAUGCCCCUCAAAUUCUUUCCUCUGAGGAGGCAAGAAUAGAGGUUGCUGCAUACCAGUAUGGAUUCACUGCCCUUAACAAUGGUGAGCAUAGACUGGGGAAAGAGACUACCUAAAUUGAAUAGAAUAGGGUGGGCAUAUGCUGAUUAUAAUUAUAUUUGCUAUUUAUAUUAUAUUAUCUAAUACCUACCUAUUGUGUUAUUGGUUAAAAAUUUCUUCAGAAAUCAUCUCCCCAUUCAUUCAUAUAGUUGCAGUGAGAAUUGAACUAUUAUUGUUAUGUAAUUUUAUUCAUUUCCAUGGUUGAUAGGGCCAGAGAUGAGACCAUUUGAGUAACUGAGGCCAUUCCCUGGAAAUACAGGUGAAAAUGGAAGUCAUUUUUUCCUUGGUUCCAAGAUUGUAAUACAGGAGUCCCAUGCAUUAUUGGUUGGUUGUUUUAUUGCAUGGACAGUGAAGGAAAUGAAGCUUGUCUGUGGAGAGGUCAUAAAACAGGGAGAUCUAUAGAGAGACACAUGAAAGAGACGGACAAACGAACUGAUCAGUGGAGC